AUGCUCCCCUCGUCUCCCCCGUGCUGCCCACGGGCCCCGCCUCCAUCUCCCUCUCCUCUCUGUCAACUCGCACGGUGCUGGACGCCCUGCAUCACCCUCUGCACCGCUAUCCUCGCCGCCUCUGCCCCGAGAUCAUCGGUGACCUCCCGUCGUCAUCAGCCCCUCCCCGAGCACGCCACGGCCACCCUUGCCCUCCCCGUGAGCUCCUCUGCCUCUUCCCCUCGCUCCCGUGCUCAGCUUCUCGCCGUAGCCAUCAUUUUGACGAUGACCAAAUCGCGCCGCCGCCGGAGCGCCUCACCGCCAUGGCCACGGUCACCGUAG
Molecule: ribosomal RNA, 321 nt
Filed under: Triticum aestivum (bread wheat)
Lineage: Eukaryota; Viridiplantae; Streptophyta; Magnoliopsida; Poales; Poaceae
Description: partial small subunit ribosomal RNA
Source: RNAcentral